RNAcentral lists this ribosomal RNA (247 nucleotides) under uncultured bacterium. Its description in RNAcentral is "partial 16S ribosomal RNA". It matches the Rfam family "Bacterial small subunit ribosomal RNA", at positions 86 to 334 of the family's 1533-position model. The record is from RNAcentral.
AGAUGGCGACCGGCGCACGGGUGAGUAACACGUAUCCAACCUGCCGAUAACUCGGGGAUAGCCUUUCGAAAGAAAGAUUAAUACCCGGUGGUAUAAUCAGACCGCAUGGUUUGAUUAUUAAAGAAUUUCGGUUAUCGAUGGGGAUGCGUUCCAUUAGGCAGUUGGUGAGGUAACGGCUCACCAAACCUUCGAUGGAUAGGGGUUCUGAGAGGAAGGUCCCCCACAUUGGAACUGAGACACGGUCCAA